UACGGAGGAGGCAAGCGUUAUCCGGAAUUAUUGGGCGUAAAGCGUCCGCAGGUGGCACCUCAAGUCUGCUGUCAAAGACCGGGGCUUAACCCCAGAAAGGCAGUGGAAACUGAAGUGCUAGAGUGCAGUAGGGGUAGAGGGAAUUCCCGGUGUAGCGGUGAAAUGCGUAGAGAUCGGGAAGAACAUCGGUGGCGAAAGCGCUCUGCUGGACUGCAACUGACACUCAGGGACGAAAGCGUGGGGAGCAAACAGG
RNAcentral lists this ribosomal RNA (253 nucleotides) under uncultured bacterium. Its description in RNAcentral is "partial 16S ribosomal RNA". It matches the Rfam family "Bacterial small subunit ribosomal RNA", at positions 524 to 776 of the family's 1533-position model. The record is from RNAcentral.